CACGUAGGGUGCGAGCGUUGUCCGGAAUUAUUGGGCGUCAAGAGCUCGUAGGCGGUGUGUCGCGUCGGCCGUGAAAACCUGCAGCUUAACUGUGGGCUUGCGGUCGAUACGGGCAUCACUGGAGUUCGGCAGGGGAGACUGGAAUUCCUGGUGUAGCGGUGAAAUGCGCAGAUAUCAGGAGGAACACCGGUGGCGAAGGCGGUUCUCUGGGCAUUACCUGACGCUGAGGAGCGAAAGCGUGGGGAGCGAACAGG
This 254-nucleotide ribosomal RNA is filed under the name uncultured bacterium. Its description in RNAcentral is "partial 16S ribosomal RNA". It matches the Rfam family "Bacterial small subunit ribosomal RNA", at positions 524 to 776 of the family's 1533-position model. The record is from RNAcentral.